UUGGCCAGAACAGGAAAAACUGUCUAUACAUCCAGAACUCUGGUGAUAUCCUUCAGUGAAAACUGCACCUGUCAGACAGAAUGCCAUAAUUAAAUGAUACAUGAAUGACCCUGAAGCAAUAAAAUCAGCAUAUCAAGGACUUUUAUCACCUGGAAGAAGUGGUUAUUUCUUUGGAUUUACCCUGGUCCACAUCCUGCACAAUGAAGCUCUUGGUUGCUCUUCUACUGCUGCUAGGUUGUCGGACCUCAAUAAUCCUCGACGGCCAGGAUACCACAGCCGGGCUGAAUAUCGGAAAUGACAUAACUAUUGAGACCACAGCUGUUCCACCUGCUUCAUUCAGCACAGUGAUCAGAAU
This is a long non-coding RNA of Scleropages formosus (Asian bonytongue), 355 nucleotides long. RefSeq lists it as uncharacterized. The record is from RefSeq and is a predicted model, not a curated record. NCBI's taxonomy places the organism in Eukaryota, Metazoa, Chordata, Actinopteri, Osteoglossiformes, Osteoglossidae. The transcript is spliced from 3 exons.